Molecule: long non-coding RNA, 709 nt
Filed under: Homo sapiens (human)
Lineage: Eukaryota; Metazoa; Chordata; Mammalia; Primates; Hominidae
Description: HSALNT0321010
Source: RNAcentral
AAGCUGUUAAAUUUGUAGUGAUUUGUUAUGCAGCAAUGGAUGACUAGUAUAAUGGAUCAACUCACUUAAAUUUGGGAACUUCAGGUAACUCCCAAGAGCAUUCAUUUAAUCUAGAAAGUUGAGGGCUUUACAGAAGAGAAGAAUAUGUGCCAGGACUUAGGGAUUAUUCUGUGAAAGAGAAAUAGCAUUAACAAAGUGACAACAUGGAAAGAAACAUGAAAAUAGCCUGCUGAAAGAAUUCACUUUGAAAAUGCCACAAAACAGACAAUGGAAAAAUGAGGGUCAUCAGAACUACAUCUUCCUAAGAGGGAAAGAAACACCCAAUAACAUCUUGGCAGGUGCUGCAUAAUCAUGCCUCAAAUGACUUUCUGAAGAUAAAAAGAAAGUGGUACUUGCUUGCAUAACUGAACAUAUCUGCCUGAGUUGUUUUCCUACAGAUGUUAUCCUGGGAAUAGAAACAAAAUUGUUCAUUCCCUAGCAGCCUUCAAGAAGCACUGUGAUCUAGGGCAGCACAGAGCCAGCAAUGAGAGACAGAAUGACAUUCACAAUUCUAGAAGAAAACACUGGAGUGGAAUAUACACAGAAUGGCUGUUUGGUCUCAAGACUGCAUGAAUUAUUAUCCGGCUAUGCUGGAUGUUCUAAUUCCUUUCUCUCAGAGGACUGUAGGUAGAUACAUAUGCUGACUACAUAUGUGGAUAACACUGUCGAA